RNAcentral lists this non-coding RNA (30 nucleotides) under Cricetulus griseus (Chinese hamster). Lineage: Eukaryota; Metazoa; Chordata; Mammalia; Rodentia; Cricetidae. The record is from RNAcentral.
CAGCACCUUAAUGCUGUAGUUCCUCUUGGC